RNAcentral lists this ribosomal RNA (500 nucleotides) under uncultured bacterium. RNAcentral's name for it is "partial 16S ribosomal RNA". It matches the Rfam family "Bacterial small subunit ribosomal RNA", at positions 30 to 523 of the family's 1533-position model. The record is from RNAcentral.
AUUGAACGCUGGCGGAAUGCUUUACACAUGCAAGUCGAACGGCAGCACGGACUUCGGUCUGGUGGCGAGUGGCGAACGGGUGAGUAAUGUAUCGGAACGUGCCCAGUCGUGGGGGAUAACGUAGUGAAAAUUACGCUAAUACCGCAUACGAUCUAUGGAUGAAAGCGGGGGAUCGCAAGACCUCGCGCGAUUGGAGCGGCCGAUAUCAGAUUAGGUAGUUGGUGGGGUAAAGGCCCACCAAGCCAACGAUCUGUAGCUGGUCUGAGAGGACGACCAGCCACACGGGAACUGAGACACGGUCCAGACUCCUACGGGAGGCAGCAGUGGGGAAUUUUGUACAAUGGGCGAAAGCCUGAUCCAGCCAUGCCGCGUGCAGGAUGAAGGCCCUCGGGUUGUAAACUGCUUUUGUACAGAACGAAAAGGUUUCUACUAAUACUAGGAGCUCAUGACGGUACUGUAAGAAUAAGCACCGGCUAACUACGUGCCAGCAGCCGCGGUAA